CAUUCAACUACACUCAACUGGGUGGGCUGGUCUCGUACUCGUGUAUGAUUUGUUCUACUGAUUUUUUGUAUUUGCCUACCAGCUCGGGUAGGUCGUAGGCGAUAGCUACGUCUAGUCUAUUGAUUGGGCAACCACGGAAGUAGGUGCACGUGGAGCUCAACAGGGGGAAAUCGUAUAGAGGAUUCAACCGGAAGAAGUCUCGGUAAACAUCUGGAUCUGGCAAGUCAUAGCGUGAGAUGUUCUUCAGAGUACUGAGCCCUUCGUAGAUAUGAUAAUCCUGGGGAUUCUCAACGAUUUUGUCGCUGAUCUCCUUCUUGUUUCCAAAGAAUGUCUUGUGGUUGUAAUAGGUGGUUAGAUAGCAGUCUACCAUUUUAGCAUGAUUACGCACUCGCACCUGUAACAUAUUUAAUAUAGUUUCAGAACUUACGGGGCUAGCAGAUGUGUUUCUAAUCGAUGACAAGUGUAAAGAAUUUGUCCAUUAUAUAUUUGUCCCUUAGGAGUGACUUACAGCGAAUCUUCUGGCGCUUGCAAUUUUGUGUUCGACUUGUUUGUCAAUGGCAGUACGCAGAUCACGUAGGAAUGCUCGCUCCUGAGCGUAUAGCAAUCUAGUCGGUGCUCCAGCUUCGUAUGGUAUCGACCAUAGCGAUGUGGAGUACAUGAUCGGCGGCUCGGCGCUGGACAUCAGCGGCGAUAUGUUCCAGAUCAGAGCUCCUUGCACUCUCAUGAGUUCCUCUGGUUUCACUUGAUCAGCUUUGUUCAGAAUGAUGCGCGUCUGUUUCAGGAAGUUGGUGUUACACAUUAACUGGCACGACCUCGGAUCAGUUAUAUGCUCUUACCUGGUACUCCCUCCCCUUCAGCUGGUCGAGGAUCGCUUCCGUUUCCGGUCCGACGUCCAACUUAGAUGGGUCGUAGACUAAGAAUAUUAUGUCCGCUCGGUCGAUGAACCACUGACACGCGUCGUUGAAUGGGAACAGACGUUGUACCUGCUUUCGAAUUUCUAAGAUCCCCGGUAUCUCGACAAUAUUAACCUGGUAUCAUUCAAGGAUUGCAUAAGUAGCAGAAGGUUCCGGAUCUGCGUCCGCAAGGUGACGACUUAGACAAGCGCUUCUUCAGCCAAAUCAAACUCAAAAUGAUCUAUAAGCUUUGUCUCCUUGAUUGCGAUACAUGCUCCUCGUUUUUUAGGUCAGGUUCAAGGUCAUUAUAUAGAUCAUUACGCUGGAUUGACGAAUAAAUCAUUGUAUAAGAGGUUACCGUCUUAGUAACAAUUGUAGGGAUUGUUAAUCUCGAUUAAUUCGGUCUAGAAAGUAGUUGUCCAGGUCGACAUCCUUUUUCUUGAACGUCUGUUCACUUACUUUUUCUAGCAGCUUGCUGUCAAGUCGUAAACCUUUGAGGCGGUCGAGCAAUCCUUGUCCAAACUUCUGCAACCCGGAGAAGGUCCAGUCGGCGGCCAGUUGGGUGCCAUCGAGGAUCUCCUCUUCCUCGCCGUGCAUGAGAAUGUUGAAGUAAGCUGGGGACGGCUCGGCUCCUGUGUCAUUUCCAUUUCCCGUUUUGCAUUGCUCCUCUAAGCACUCUAUCAAAUCACCUAAACACUAUCUAUACAAUCAUGCUCCUCUAGCAUGCUUAGUCUACCGCUAAGAAACCUAAUCGAAUUCCGACCGGGUCGGGUCAGGCAUCAAACGAAUUCAAACAAGAAACGUUGUUGUGAAACAAUGCCGCGUUCCCAUGGCUACUUACGCACCUGUCCGUAGCGAUGUCUGUUCGUACUCGAUGUCGAGCAAAUAGUUUAUGAUUGAGGACUUCCCCCCGCUCCAUGGACCCAUGAAGAGAACCAAUGGCUUGGAGAAGAUCUCUGGAUCUACAAACGCAACGAACAGUAUAUUAAAAUACGAUAAGAAGUGGCAACGUCUACGAGAUACUAACCACCAAAGUGCCUAUUACUUAGGUCCCUGUAUUUGUACAGUGACUCCAAGGGUUGUAUAGCAUUGUCGUAAACUCUCUUCAGUUCCUUCAAUACAUCGUAACCGAUCUUCGAAAUGGCACGUUCCUUCGCCUCGUUCUCUUCGUCAAGCUUCAGCAAUUGAUUGAUGUGAUCUCGUGGUCGUAGGUUCUCUGGUACCACGAUUUCCCGAAUCAGGUCUUCCUCGGGAGUAGGCUCCUCCUCGCUCUGUUCCGCGUCUUCGGAGGCCUCGGCUGACUCUUCACCCGCGUCCUCAGCCGCGCCUUCUUCACCAACCUCUCGUCUAGCUCGAGAUUUCGUUUUUUCAGCUCCUUCUUCCGCACCUUCUUCUUCCGACUUGGUUUCCUCUACAGAUUCUUUUCCCUCCCCAUCAUCAGCGGACUUGUCCUCUUCGGCAGACUUAGCUUCUUUCUCCUCCUCAGAUUUAGUUUCCUCCGUAUCCCCUUCCUCCGCCGAUUUCGCUUCAUCUUCUGCAGAUUUUCCUUCCUCCUCCUUACCUUCCCCACUUUUCUCCUCCUGCGCUUCGUCUACUUGAUCCUCAGAGCUCUCACCUUCACCUUCACCUUCUUCACUUUCACCUUUACCUUCACCUUCACUCUCACCGCCACCUUCACCCUCACCUUCCUGGCUCUCUUCCUUUCCUUCCUCUCCACUCACUUGCUGUUCCUCCGAUUGGGUCUCGUCUUCUGCUUUGCUAUCGUCCUUCGCUUCUUCUGUAUCUUCUUUAGAACCCUCUCCAGCUUCACCUUCUUCCGCGGAAGCAUCCUCCUCCGCCUUCGAAUCCUCUUCUUCAGUUUGGCCCUCCUUCUCCUCUUCGGACUUCACCUCUUCGGUUUGCGCUUCGUCGGAUUUCUCCUCGUCGAGUUUCGCUUCUUCGGCUGAUUCGCCCGCGGCUUCAACUUCUUCGUCGGAUUUUCCAUCGUCGGCUUUAGAUUCCUCGUCGGAUUUUCCUUCGUCGGCUUGAGCUUCUUCGUCGGACUUGCCCUCGUCGGCUUGUGCUGCUUCUUCAGAUUUCUCUUCGUCCGUCUGCGCCUCCUCCUCGCCAGAUUUUUCCUCGCCUACCUGCGUCUCUUCAGACUUCUGGUCAUCAGUUUCUUCGUCCGUUCCUUCACCGGACUUCUGCUGAUCCUCUUCUUCGGUCUGAUCCUGGCCGGAGUCCGCGGCCUCCUCUACCUUCUCGGAAGACUGUUCUUUAUCCUCCUCUGUUCCCGCGUCUUCUUCGCCAGAUUUCUCGGCAUCUUCAGUUUCACCUAAACGCACCAUCGCUACAGUGAUGAUUUUGAUACUUCAAAGCUCAAAGAUCGCCUAGUCUCUACUCUACCUUCUUCGGCUUCGGCGCUCUGUUCUCCCGUAUCUUCAGCGCUUUUCUCAGCCUCCGCGGACUUGUCAGCUCCCUCUUCAGUUUGUUCAGCGCUUGCUGCAGUUUCAGCAUCUUCUACCGACUCUUGCUUGUCCUCCUCGGUUGCCAAAUCUUCUCCCGAAAGAUCGGCUGUUGGUUCGCCUUCCUAGAAACAACACCGGUAGUUUAACAGCGAUCGAUCCAGAGAAUGAUCAGUGUUGGACGCUGGAUCUUUUUAUAGAACUAGGAAAAAUUUACCUCUUGACUCGUAGGUGUCCCAUCGUCUUCCUGACUUUCUUUACCGACGUCUGCCUCAGCCUCGGCACUGGUCUGCUCCAAAGACCCUUCAAACGAAACGUUCUAGAAAUUGCUGUGCUCCAGUCGCGCGCUCCUCAGCAUCUUAACAUUACCUGUACCGAGGUCCUUUAAUGCUUUCUCAAUGUAUGGUCGACACAGAUCCUCUGGUGGCACCUCUAGCUCCUCUUCGCUUUGCACUCCUGUAACGAAAUUGCUUACAAUUGGAUCUUGGAUCAACUAGAUCAAGAGAUUGUUUUCUUUCUACACGAUUGGAACAUUUAAAGGCUAAUCUCAGAAAUAAAAUUUGCGAUUCUAAAUCAUUUUGGAGUUCAAAUCCUACUUUUAGCAAGUAGUUUAAUCGGUGAUUUGGGGAUCAGAGGACAGCUUACCGUGGGAAAAUAGAAAAAUCAUAUGUAAUUGCUAGGAUAGCCUAAGUUAAACCUGACCAGUAACGCUUUGGGUAUCUUUAAUCGAGUUAUGAGAUUUGCAGAGUGCGAGUGUUUUCAGAUUACAAUGAACUGUAAUAAGCGAGCUAGUAGCAAGAAAAUUGAUCUGUAUACCUAAAACAAUGCUUUAGGGAAUUCUCGAAGAACGUUUACAGGGACAUCGUCGGAGCAUUUCGUAGUUUUGCAAACGCCGAACGGAACUCGACACCAGUCUGGUCUAGAGAGUCGGUGUCCGGUGUCCUGUGACAGUUCCGCGACCACGGCAGACCUCCAACAUUGAUUUCAUUAGGGACCUAAGGACGCGCUAAUAAUACCAGCGGGUCCCGAUCGGGAGGAACGGCUCUAAACAAACAGAGGGAGGCGCGACGACGCGCUGGUUGACGUAGAAAUAUGCAAAACACACGAUCGCGUCGGACAUUAAUAAAAGAUAUUUGCGUUGCGCGGGAGUUCGCGCGGCCGAUCCCCAACGGCUGGCUCGAUUCUAUGCCGAUUCCUCGGCUGCCAGGAAUGUUCAUCAGGAGUUUUCACUGUGCGGCGGACCCCCGGUGCCAAAAGAAGGCGCGGGGUAUUAGAUAACUCGAGCCGCGCAGCCGAGGGUUUAACGCCACGCGACCACCGAAAAUAUCUGACCCAAGUGACGCAAGAAUCUUGUCAAAGUCGUUACACGACCCGUUCGGAUGAGCGCGUGCUCGGACAAUGACAGGUGUUCGGGGAACAACACUGCUGGUCGCAUUGUCACGACCGGUUGAUAAAGGACCGCGCUGACGUUCUUGGAAACGCGGGACCUGGCAGGGAUCGAAAAUAACGAGUCAUGCAGAUGUUCUCACAAUUAACAUUUUGAUAAGGUGGCUGCGAACUCUCGCUGAUAUUUCGUGUACCGCUGACUUCCUGUCCAACCACGCGGUCCAUAGAUCGUCUAUAGAUCUAAUAGAUCGUUUCAUAGAUCUAAUCUCCGUGAACGAUUGUCCCCUAGAUCCGUACGCGCGAAAUUAGCGCCCGUUCAUGCGAGCGAGAUAGUAAGAUUCAUCGCGGUUCUCAUUUCUUGUCAUUUUCAUCGAUCUCGUGAGCUCUAUCCAAGAUAUUGUUGUACGCAAUGUAUACCGUGAUGAUAAAUUAGGAACUCGGCGCCAAAAUUUGCGACACCCGAAAUGUUAAAAAUGUCGAUUAUCGGAGACUGAUCGAUGGUUGACGCCGAGCGUUCAUCGAGUGGCUGGCUGUCGGACUUCGUGUUUCGACCGUUUCGUCCAGUCGAAUUCGAACAUAAUUUCGACAAUUAUAGAAUGAGAAAUCUGAAACCAUUCGAGCAGUAGUAUCAGCGUUGAAUUAGAAUGUCGGAAGCGAAACUGUGGUGGGCCGAUGUUUAGGUGAACGGGCCAGAUUAGACGUCGUGGUUGUUACUUUAAAGCAACAUUGUUCCUUCGGGACUCCGUCCGAAGGACGACGUGUUCCAAAAUCUGUGCCCUGGUGUCACAAUACGCGGCGCGGAACGUAAAAUCUCGGUCGAUGAAAAUGUCGAUAUCAUCUUUCUAGGCAGUACCUGGGACCAGGCCGGUUUCUAAGUUUAGCGGCGAGUAGGCGGCUUUGAGCCGAGCAACACUUGAAAAUAUUUAUAUAUUCGAUGAGCGAAACGUAUUUUUAUCGGUUAUUCGCCGCGGAAAAGUGCGAACGACGAUACAGAUCAUUCGCGGUUGCGACAAAGUAAUUUGGGCCGUACGGGCACAGAGUCCCCUUCGGGUAGAUGUCCUUCUACGCUGAUCGAUCAUUUUAUUUUGCUAUUAUUAUCAAAUCCUUAAUCGAUCCUCAUUUUUUCAGCUUAAUGUUAUUCUCUCAAAUUGAUUAGACGAUCAAGAACCAAUAUAGCGGACAGCUAAGCAGUUAGAUCUGUAAUUUGCAUUAUCGAAGACGAAAGGUUAUGUUGUGGGACUAAUGUACGCGAAAUUCUUGAGUUUAUGCCAAUAUAUCAACUGUGACAAUAUAGAUUUAUUAACAGGAAAAUUCUGAUUGGAAAUGAAAAGAUACACAAAGAUAGAGAUACACAAACAUAAAAUAUUAAUCGAAACCCAUUUUUAACCCCUGGCGAAGGGGUUGAAAGCGAAAUUAUUGAGAAAAAGAUCAAAUCGAGAAUCUAACUGAAGAAAAGAAGGUCGAAUUAAGAGUUUAGAUAAAGUGCCUACAAAAGUAUCUUCCAGAAAAUUGGCAAACAAUUAUUAUAAAGGUGAAAGUGCCAUUUUACUGGAAUGGUGUUUGAAAAUAAUUCCUGGGUAGCCUUAAUGCUUAACAUAUGUGCGUAAAAAGCAUGAUAGCGGGUGAAUAUCCUCUGUCAACAGUCAAAGCCAACGCUGACGUACCAAACAUUUUUCUCGUGGCUGUAUUAACAGUAAACCGUUGACGGUCUCCUUGAAACAAAGCUGACGAGGCAUUUGAACAAAUUCUGCGCGCAAGACUGCGGCAAUUUUCAAAGUGAAAUUUAAUUGGUCGCCACGCGAGACCAACAAAUGAGAAAAUACUACGCGGCUUACGUUUGCGCCCAGCCCGUAAAUUUUCAACAUUACAUCACACGCGCUGCUACUUUUGGCACGGCAGCUCGGGUUUUAUCAUUUUAUGUGCUUCGGCCUUUUGUUGUCCAAGCGACGAACGCCAAGCGGCAUUGCAGGAAAUGGGACUGGCGAGUCGAUGGGGUCAGUUAUAGAACUCCUAGAUCCGUGGCUCUCCUUCAACUGAUCAUUUAAACCUGCUUCUCAAUUUGCACAAAUUUAUACUUCACCGUUGCUCGUUUUGCGAGCGAUUAUGCGUUCACUGCGGAUGUUUCUGCGAUUGCUCGUUCACGAAGACUAUUUUGCGAUUUAUCGGAGCUAUCAAAUUGUUUAUUCGGCCCGAUUCGAAAUAGAAAGGUCACUGUUGAAGCUCCAAUUUUUCGCUCAUCGUUGGUUUCGCUGGAUUCUUUAAUCCUUUCUAGAAGUUUCCUAGAUGGCAAAUCGAAUUUGACCCUGAUUUUCGUUUCUUUAAGGCUAUAUAUGAAAAGUAGGAUUUUUGUAAAGAUUCUCAUCACGAUCAUAAGUCGGCUACAACCUUGACGAAUGUUUAGUCGAUCCUCGUUGAUUUUCCGAAGGUUUCCGUGUAAACGAUACCCGAUCGCGACGAAUGUAUUAAUUUUGGUCUCGAAUGAUCUGUAAGACAACAUGUUGAAAUUGUGCGGUCGGAAAAUAAUCCGCGAAAAUGUCAAGAUACAGGUAAUGGAAGCAGAGGUAAGCAGCUGUCGUUUGGCAAGCAUAGUGAGGAUAAAGAUAGAAUCCGAAGUCUUGCCGCGGUACGCGGCUCGCAUAGUCUUUAAUCCCUUCGUAGAAAAAUCGAAUCUGAUAAAAAAUAUCGAUAUUCGUUUGACCGACUAAAUUUUUCUAAACCUCGGAAAUUCCAGAAGCAGUAACAAACGUGAACUCACAAUUUCAAUAAUGUCUUCCCUAUCGAAAAUAACCGCAAAAUCACCUGCUAACACUUUUUAAAACGAAAAUUCUAUUAUUUACAAGAUUAAAUACUGAAAGCAGAGGAAUACAUUUAAAGAUAAAAAAGAAAACGCUUUCGAAUACAAUAGACGAGGCUCGCAUUUGAAUCAGUUGAAUUUAACAGAGCGAAAUUUAUUUUUAACUAGUAAAAUAUACGGGAAGAUCGAUCGAAUAGGAAACCAACAAGAUAUUUCAAAGCAUUGUUGGCAUACGCAUAGUGUUCUGUAAGAUAUUAGCUUUCUAUUUUUGUUGCAAAAUUCUGUCGGAAGCAUCAUUAAACUAAUGCAAUACACUCGGCGCGGUGUGCAUUUGAAAAUAGCUGGAUGUUAAUUUAAAUAUAAUUUGGUACGAUUUAUUAUAGAUUUGAAAAAGCGGCCGUUUUCGGGUAUUGCUCGUUUGUGGUAGCCGGUCGAAAAAUGUCGACAGAUUCGCGAACACCGACCGCGAAUUACGGACAGGCACCUUUAAACGGAAUACACGGCUAGAUUCGCGAAAUUUAGAGCGAAUCUGGCACGGAUUUACGCCCGUCCUUAUGUAAUUAUUUGCGAGUUGUUGACAGUCGGUUUCCAUCGAUUCCCAAAAUAACGGAUCCUUGAAUCCACAAUCGGACACUUUUUCCUCGAUCGCCGACCCGAUUAAACCAUCCUCAAUUAUACGCAUACUACGUCACGAGCAGUGUUGCAUGUCCAAGACUCUCUAUGUCUCUUACUGUAAAAACGCGACAAUUCAAACACAACCAUACGAAGCCAACGAAAUGAAAAUAAUAAGGUAAAAGCAGACUGAACAACGUUUUCUCAUCGAUUGAGAGAAGAGAUUAGAAAUGGAUUCGUUUCUGAUCGAAGGUGCUCGGAAAAAUCCGAUCGAGUGGGUGGAGAAUUGUUGCGUCAAGACAACGGAAUCGUUCAACAAGUGUCACGUGCGACGAACAGACGAGAUGCGGUACCGUUUAAUGAUGUAUCGUCGCGAUAAUGACGCAACAGAUCGCAGGUUCAUCGGUUCGAUGUCGAACAGGCCGAACGAGCCAGGAACCGGUGACGCAGACUGGCGAUUUUACGUAACAUUGACCUUCGUCAGUCGUCACCGGUUCGUCAGCACGUCGACCACAUCAUCGACCACUAAAGCUUCGAAAAAGCUGCGCUGUCCAAAUACACAAGGAACCAUCCAAAACUUACAAUCUUGCUUUCCGAGACGGCGAAGACUUCCGAAAUACCCGGGGGAGAUUAUUGGCAACUUCCACGGCUAAAAUGAUCCACCGAUGCUCCCAAAUGAUAACCACAAGCUCAAUUUUGUUCGAGUACGCUGCCUCGAUGAGAGGUUGAAGUUUCGAAGAGAUCGUUGAUGCGCAGCUUUCAACCCUUUGCCGUGCUAAGAGCUAUCCAUAUCGCUCACGUAGCCUAAUUAGGCUGAUAAGUUUAUAUAAUAAUUGCGAAUUAAUUAUUUACGGUGCACAAAAUUAAUAAGAGGAAAAAUUCCGAAAAACCGAUCAAUGGGAAGACCGACGAAUUCUCAGUUUAUCGGAGCUUUCGACGAUGAUUCAUCGAUCGAAGCUGGGACCUGCAUCGAUCGCGUAUUGAUGGUAGCAGUUUCCAAGGGAAUCCUAAGCUUCGCUAUUAUAUUUAGCAACGCUGAGUUCGUAACUUAUCGAAUUUGUUUGCAGAGACGAGAAUGGCGGAGAGGAAAUUCGGAGCCCGCGACAGCUUUAAUCAUCGGCACUCGUCACGAGCCGCGGCGCGUUGAUCUUUAUUUAUACCAUAAUUAACGCAAAUAAACGACGCGAAGUCGGGGACCAGGUGCAUCUUAAAAAGAAUCUGUCGCGUGACAGCCCGGUAAAAAUAACGCGAUAACAGGUCACAGUAUUAUUGUUGUUUGAAUUCGUUGCGAACCCUUCGAACGAAACAAUUAAAAACUGAAAAUUAAACUUACGAUAGCAAAAUUUGUUCCCCGUAAAUUGGCUAAUUUCUUUCGACUGGCACGUAAUCUUAACACGUUGAUUUUAGAAGGUACUGAAAAGGGCGCAAAUUCAAGAGACCAGGGUAUGCGACCAAGGAUCCAGAUUUCCGGACUACCGGCAACUCCAAUUAACCUACAUUGUAAUUAUUAAAUCGCUACGAAGUAAAAGAAACUGGUGCCGAGUCUAAUCAAGCUGACUACCAGUGCAGGGUCAAAAGUUAUGUCUAUUGAUUCUCGAAGCUCGCAGGAAUGGAGGAUCCAGACCAUUGUUGGAGCCCAGCCAUGCCUAUCCAAACUAGAGGUUGGAGUGCAAGGGAACUAACCAGUUAAUUUCAUUUCCACUUACUUUCAAACACUAUUUAAUCUUUAAAAAUCACAGAAAGAAAGAGUCCAGGUUAUCAACAUCGUUGCCGGAAUUGUAUCUAUCUACUAGGUAGCUAUGGAAGCAAGAUCAUUGAAGGCUAAAGGGGCUGACUAAUUCAAAAUGGAAUACAGGAACUAAGAUAUUAUAAAAUGGUAUUUUCACUAA
This is a non-coding RNA of Megalopta genalis, 10018 nucleotides long. Lineage: Eukaryota; Metazoa; Arthropoda; Insecta; Hymenoptera; Halictidae. The record is from RefSeq and is a predicted model, not a curated record.